CAAAAAAAAAAAAAAAAAGCUGGCCCUGGGCUGGGAAGAACGAGGCUGUGGGGCGCCAGGGGCAGCGGCCAGGCCGGGGCCUCCAGCCCUGCGCCACUGCGGAGGGGGGCGCACCCCCGGUCUCUCUCCCCCGAAGCCCGGGUACGAGCGUGCCCUUACUUGUGCCAGUGUCACUAGUGGGUGAAGUUAGAGGCUGUGAUGCACGAGGCAGGCUCUCAUCUGUGUCAAACUUCCUGUCACCAUACUCGUCUUAGGUGUCCUCAGUUGUGGGUUUUUUUGUUUUUUAUUUGGUUUAUUUAUUUGAGAGCAAGUGAGCAGGUGCAUGAGCAGAGGCAGGGGCGGCUGAGGGAGAGGAAGAGAGUCUCCAAGCAAGUGGACGCCCCCAGCCUGGAGCCUGACACAGGGCUCGAGCCCAGGACCCUGAGAUGUGACCCGAGCUGAAAUCAGGAGCAGGCCGCCCGCCCGCCCGACCCUGAGCUUGGCCACGUGCGCUGGCCGCCCCGGAGCUCGGGGCGCUGAGGGUCUGGGCGCGUGGACGGUGCAGCCGGGACCCCGGCGGCCGGGUGUGUCCUGGUCCCCGGCAGGCCGCCCGCAGGGACGUGGGGCUCGGUCGCCCGCUUCCCUCCUGCCCGUUUCCUCUUUGAAUUAAGCGAGUGCAGCUGCUUUCCAGAUGCCCAGCGAGCAGCCCCCUGGGUGCCCGGCCCUGGACGCGGCCUUCACAGCCACGCCGGCGCGGCAAGCGCAGGCCCUGGUCUGCCCCCGGUGCCCCCCGGUGUCCGCGGACAGGGUCUCUUGAAGGCCGACAUCUAAAGCACCUGUGUUCUGUCUACCGCGUCUCCCGGUUGGUUGAGGCUGACAGGGGGGCCGCAGGCCUUCCCCGGAGCCCCGAGCGGCUGCGCCUCCGGGAGCUCACCCCACGACCUCGUGGAGGACCCGUGUCCCCAAGCGCGCCUGGGAGCGGCUGGCGCCUUCACCCUGGCCCGGGCACGUCGGCGACAGGCUCGGUCACCCAGAGCUACUCUAACCUCAGCCCGGAGGCCUUGCCUUCCCCUUCCCCCUCACCGAGGACGGCACUGGGCCCCACCCCACCUGCUCACACAGCGCUGCUGUCCGGGCUGUGGCCUUCGUCCCCGUGUGGAGCUACGUGGUUAAAGAUGCGUUUAUGUAUCUUAGAGGGAGACCGAACAGGAGAGAGUGAGUGUGCGCGCUGCGGGGAGAGGGGGCCCGAGGGAGACGCGGACCCUGAGAUCAAGACUUGCAUGCUGGGGAUCCCUGGGUGGCUCAGUGGUUUAGCAGACUCUCCGCUGAGCACGGAGCCCCACGCGGAGCCCGAUCUCAUGACCCCGGAACACAGUCUGAGCCAAAACCAAGUGUGAGAUGCUCGACCAACUGGGCCACCCAGGCGCACCCAGGCAUUUUCCAACAGUACGUACCGAACAUCCUCUACGUGUUAGGUGCUGUUCUGGAGCCCGGGGAUAUGGCGGUGAAACACGGGUCCAAGGGCCAUCGCCGUGAUGGGACAGUUUGUUGGAAGAGACAGACGAUGCCUUCAUAAGUGGGGUCAUUUCCGAUGGCGACGGUGCUGGAAGACAAGCAGAAAGCAACCGGGAACAAGAACCGAGGCCCAGUGGCCGGGGUUGGUGUCAGCGGAGGUGGCGCAGCGCAGAGGCCAGCCUGGUGAGGAGUCCCCCGUCAUUCCGGGACGAGGUAGGAGCCUGACAAUGACCUGGAAGAAAGAGAGCCUUCUAGUCUGAGACACUGAGAAAAAGGAUCUAUGAAAUGAGGGGGAAAGAGAAGGAGGUGAGGUCAGGUGAGGUCAAAGGAAGUCGCUGCUGGACGUGCGCAUUUGUAAGAGGAGAAUAAUUGUAUGGAAAUCUCAGCUCUCGGAGCCAGAGCAAGGGGAUCUGGUCUAGCGGAAGAAGUGCGUGCGGGAGGCCUCCUGGUCCUGGACGGCUCCGCAGCCCCCUGCUUGUUUCAUGGCAGUGACAUCCGGCCCUCUGGUGGACGAACCUGCGUCCCACAGCUGAAAUUUUAACACUGGGUUUGUUCCUCUAUUUGGCGGAAAAUAAAGGCCCUAGAAGACCCUUUGAAGGGUUAUUUUUCUUUAAAGAUUUUAUUUAUUUAUUCAUGAGAGACACAGAGAGAGGCAGAGACACAGGCAGAGGGAGAAGCAGGCUCCAUGCAGGGGAGCCCGACGUGGGACUCGAUCCUGGGUCUCCAGGAUCACGCCCUGGGCUGGAGGCAGAUGCCAAACCGCUGAGCCACCCAGGCGCCCUAUUUAAUACCUUUUCACACAUUCUAAGCCAUUUGGGUUUUCUCCUUUGAAGUGUUUAUUCAAAUUGUUUCCCCCCUUUUUGUCCUAGUUUUUAAUGUGAUUUGCAUAAGUCAUAUACAUGCACGCACAAGUGAUACCAGUCUGUCCAUCAUAUGCCAUUCAAUUCUCAUUCAACUGUGUGGCUUGCGUUUUUGACUCUCCUAAUGAUAUCUUCGUAAUAAACAGAAAUUCUUAUUUUUAAAGCAGAUUUAUUCAUCUUCCUGUAUAGUAAAUGUCUUCUUCCUUGAAAACCCAUGGGAAAAUCUCCUACAUUUUCUUCUAAAACUUUAUUUAAUUUUAUUUUUCAGAGUACUUUUCAUCGAUCUCAAACAUCCAUGGAAUUGACUUUUUGGUAUGGUAUAAGGUAAGGAUUUUUUUUCUUCUUUUUUUUCUUUCUCUCUCUUUCCCUUUUUUAAGAUUUUUUUUUUUUUUAAAGUAGUCUUGACACUUGACAUGGGGCUUGAACUUACAACCCUGAGAUCAAGACUUGCAUGCUGGGGAUCCCUGGGUGGCUCAGUGGUUUAGCGCUGCCUUCAGCCCAGGGCCUGAUCCUGGGUCCUGGGAUCGAGUCCCAUGUCGGGCUCCUUGCAUGGAGCCUGCUUCUCUCUCUGCCUCUCUCUCUCUCUCUCUUUCUCUGUGUGUGUAUCAUGAAUAAAUAAAAAAAUCUUAAAAAAAAAAAAAAAGACUUGCAUGCUCUACUGACUGGGCCAGCCAGGCUCUCCUCUGUCUCUCUCUUUACUUCUUACAUAUAGAUAUUCAAUUGUCUCUACCACUUAUUAAGUAUUCCACCCUCUCCCCAUUGACACCUUGCCAUUUCUGUCAUCUAUCAAUAUGCAAAGGUCUGUCCCUGGACCCUUUGUUCUAUUUCAUUGAUCUGUCAUCUCUCCUUGCACCCAUACGACACUGUUUUAAUUAUCACAGCUUUAUAAGUUCUGGUAUAUAGCUGGGUGUGUCCUCUUGCCUUGUUCUCUUGCAAGAGUGUUUUGAUCAAUAAUAAAUAACAACAACAAAAAAGGGUGUUUUGAUCAUUUAAAACACUGUGCAUUUUUUUUAAGAUUCUACUUAUUUAUUCAUGAGAUGUACAGAGAGAGGGAGAAACAGGCUCCACACAGGGAGCCCAAUGCAGGACUCCAUCCUAGGAACCCGGGAUCAUGCCCUGGGCCGAAGGCAGGCGCUCAACCACUGAGCCACCCAGGGAUCCCCAAUACUGUGCAAAUUUUCAAAUCAGCUUGCCUAGUUUCACAUGCACACAUACACACAUACAUGCUUCAUUUGGAAUACUGUUUGGGAUUGAGAUUGAUUUUAAAAAUCAGUUAAAGUUAAACAGCCACCUUUGCAAUAGUGAGUUCCACUCAAUGAACAUAACACAUUGCUUCAUUUAGAUUUUUAAAAAAAUUUCUCCUAAUAAUGUUUAAAAGCUUUCUGUAUAGAAGCAUUUCCUUUUUUUAAUUUUAAUUUUUUUAAAGAUUUUAUUUAUUUAUUCAUGAGAAACACAGAGAGAGGGGAUCCCUGGGUGCGCAGCAGUUUGGCGCCUGCCUUUGGCCAGGCGCGAUCCUGGAGACCCGGGAUCGAAUCCCACAUCGGGCUCCGGUGCAUGGAGCCUGCUUCUCCUCUGCCUGUGUCUCUGCCUCAUUCUCUCUCUCUCUCUCUGUGACUAUCACAAAUAAAAAAAAAAAAAAAAAAAGAAACACAGAGAGGAGAGAGAGAGAGGCAGAGACACAGGCAGAGGGAGAAGCAGGCUCCAUGCAGGGAGCCCGACGUAGGACUCGAUCCCGGGUCUCCAGGAUCACGCCCUGGGCUGAAGGCGGCGCUAAACCGCUGAGCCACCCGGGCUGCCUAGAAGCGUUUCCUGCUUGAUUUUUUGAUGCUACUUUAGUGGUAUCUUUCCUUUAAUUUCAUUUUCCAUCUGUUGGCAGUUAGUAGAAAUACUGAUGUUUAGUCCCUGUGUUGCUAAAUAUGCUUGGUAAAUCUAAGUGGAGAGUUGAAUAAAAUGAUUAGGCUCUUAUCCUAAUGGUCACAGAUACAGGAUACUGCCCUUAAUGGAUUUAGGAUAUAUCUUUUCUUCCGAUACAGAGGAGUAUUUACAAACGUUGACCAUCAUGUGGAUCCUAAAGAAGUCUGGAAACACUUCCAAAGAUGAAACUAAUAUAAAGGUCACAUUCUCUAUCCACAGUACAAUUCUCUAGAAGUCAGUAACAGACACAAUUAGUUCUCAAACAUCUACUGGUGCUGCUUGGAGAUUUUCUCCUGGGUUUUAUGAAUCUGGCUGUGGAUCUUUGAAAGAUUUAUACUGCAUCUCCUUGAUGUGUGCCCACAUGUGAGAAUAGAGGGGAAGGGCUUCUUACCUGGAUUUGGAGAGCGGUGUGUUGCUGGAUGUGGGAAGGCAGGAAGAGCACGGGGUUCACUAGCUCACCUGGAUCCCUUGGGCAUAAGCCGCUGACCGCAGUUAGGGGUGGACAUGCUGGGGGCCAUGGCAGCCAGCUUCAAGCCGCUUGAUCCUGUGGCAGUGGAGAAAGAAGAAACAGGAAAUAAGAUAAUCACAUACAUCUGACUUUUUUUUUGUUACUACUUCUUAAUAAUUUUUAUUAAAGUAUAACACACAUGCAGAAAAGUACAACCAUAUGUGUACAACUCGGUGCAGUAUCACAAAAUGAAUACACCUGUGUAACCACUACCUGUGUCAAGAAGUGCCACAUCAUCAGUACACCGGAGCCCUCCCCACCCCGUCUGCUGCGAAACAUGACCCUAUGUGUUAAAAAUGAAACUUGGAUGUGGUUUUGUUGGCUGUGGCAAGACAUGGAAAUGAAGUCAUGAAGGAAGUCUAUUAUCCCUAAAAAUAAAAGGCAAACCAUGUCACGCCAUGCCAGAC
RNAcentral lists this long non-coding RNA (5183 nucleotides) under Canis lupus familiaris (dog). Its description in RNAcentral is "lncRNA (ENSCAFG00040018908.1)". The record is from RNAcentral. Lineage: Eukaryota; Metazoa; Chordata; Mammalia; Carnivora; Canidae.